This 544-nucleotide ribosomal RNA is filed under the name Trematomus bernacchii (emerald rockcod). RNAcentral's name for it is "partial 16S ribosomal RNA, large subunit". It matches the Rfam family "Bacterial large subunit ribosomal RNA", at positions 1852 to 2592 of the family's 2925-position model. Lineage: Eukaryota; Metazoa; Chordata; Actinopteri; Perciformes; Nototheniidae. The record is from RNAcentral.
GGUCCGCCUGCCCUGUGACUAUUAGUUUAACGGCCGCGGUAUUUUGACCGCGCGAAGGUAGCCCAAUCACUUGUCUCUUAAAUGGGGACCUGUAUGAAUGGCAUAACGAGGGCUUAGCUGUCUCCUCCCCUAAGUUAAUGAAAUUGAUCUUUCCGUGCAGAAGCGGGAAUAGACACAUUAGACGAGGAGACCCUAUGAAGCUUUAGACAUAAGGUAGUCCAGACUACAAAAGCCCUCCAAUAAGUGAAUAAACCCAAAGGUUUUCUACCCCGAUGUCUUUGGUUGGGGCGACCGCGGGGAAAGACAAAACCCCCAUGUGGAACGGGAGUACAACUCCUUUAAUCAGAACCGCAGCUCUAAGAAACGAGAUUUUUUUUGACCUAAAGAUCCGGCAAUGCCGAUUAACGGACCGAGUUACUCUAGGGAUAACAGCGCAAUCCCCUUUUAGAGACCAUAUCAACAAGGGGGUUUACGACCUCGAUGUUGGAUCAGGACAUCCUACUGGUGCAGCAGCUAUUAAGGGUUCGUUUGUUCAACGAUUAAA